Molecule: transfer RNA, 71 nt
Filed under: Ovis aries (sheep)
Lineage: Eukaryota; Metazoa; Chordata; Mammalia; Artiodactyla; Bovidae
Rfam family: tRNA
About the family: Transfer RNA (tRNA) molecules are approximately 80 nucleotides in length. Their secondary structure includes four short double-helical elements and three loops (D, anti-codon, and T loops).
Source: Rfam by way of RNAcentral
UCCCUGGUGGCUCAGUGGUAAAGAAUCUGCCUGCAAUGCAGGAGACCUGGGUUCAAUCUCUGGCUUGGGAA